RNAcentral lists this ribosomal RNA (460 nucleotides) under uncultured bacterium. RNAcentral describes it as "bacterial SSU rRNA". It matches the Rfam family "Bacterial small subunit ribosomal RNA", at positions 32 to 507 of the family's 1533-position model. The record is from RNAcentral.
GACAACGCUGGCGGCGUGCCUAACACAUGCAAGUCGAACGGGGUGAGAUCCUUCGGGAUUUCACUUAGUGGCGAACGGGUGAGUACACGUGAGCAAUCUGCCUUUCAGAGGGGGAUACCAGUUGGAAACGACUGUUAAUACCGCAUAACAUAAUUAACUCGCAUGAAUUAAUUAUCAAAGAUUUAUCGCUGAAAGAUGAGCUCGCGUCUGAUUAGAUAGUUGGUGAGGUAACGGCUCACCAAGUCGACGAUCAGUAGCCGGACUGAGAGGUUGAACGGCCACAUUGGGACUGAGACACGGCCCAGACUCCUACGGGAGGCAGCAGUGGGGAAUAUUGCACAAUGGGCGCAAGCCUGAUGCAGCGAUGCCGCGUGAGGGAAGAAGGUUUUAGGAUUGUAAACCUCUGUCUUCAGGGACGAUAAUGACGGUACCUGAGGAGGAAGCUCCGGCUAACUACGUG